UCGCCGAACCUCGGGCAGUGCGGACCUCCUCAGGUUGUUCCUCACACCCCGCUGCCUCUCGCCCCUCCCCCUACCAGGUGUAUUAGUGACGUCAGCAAGGCCGCCGUGGAUGAGUGGUAACAGUACUGGUUCCCGCCAAGAGGGACCAGGUUCGACUUCCAGCUUCAAGCCCCGGUAGAUGGCGUUAUUAAAACCUAACCUAACCAUAACCUAACCUUUACCUAAUCUAACCUAACCUAACCAACCGCUCCACAUGGAAGAGUUCUCGACGGUAAUGAUCUGGUAACACUGACGAGACCCAUCUGACGCCAGGCCACCACACUCUCCCUCAGCAGGUCGCGACUGACGGGACCCAUCUGACGCCAGGCCACCACACUCUCCCUCAGCAGGUCGCGACUGA
Molecule: long non-coding RNA, 400 nt
Organism: Homarus americanus (American lobster)
Lineage: Eukaryota; Metazoa; Arthropoda; Malacostraca; Decapoda; Nephropidae
Exons: 3
Source: RefSeq, a predicted model, not a curated record